This 468-nucleotide ribosomal RNA is filed under the name uncultured bacterium. Its description in RNAcentral is "partial 16S ribosomal RNA". It matches the Rfam family "Bacterial small subunit ribosomal RNA", at positions 28 to 507 of the family's 1533-position model. The record is from RNAcentral.
GACGAACGCUGGCGGCGUGCUUAACACAUGCAAGUCGAACGGAAAGGCCCUGCUUUUGUGGGGUGCUCGAGUGGCGAACGGGUGAGUAACACGUGAGUAACCUGCCCUUGACUUUGGGAUAACUUCAGGAAACUGGGGCUAAUACCGGAUAGGAGCUCCUGCUGCAUGGGGGGGGUUGGAAAGUUUCGGCGGUUGGGGAUGGACUCGCGGCUUAUCAGCUUGUUGGUGGGGUAGUGGCUUACCAAGGCUUUGACGGGUAGCCGGCCUGAGAGGGUGACCGGCCACAUUGGGACUGAGAUACGGCCCAGACUCCUACGGGAGGCAGCAGCGGGGAAUAUUGCACAAUGGGCGGAAGCCUGAUGCAGCAACGCCGCGUGCGGGAUGACGGCCUUCGGGUUGUAAACCGCUUUCGCCUGUGACGAAGCGUGAGUGACGGUAAUGGGUAAAGAAGCACCGGCUAACUACGUG